AGCAGGUUCCGCGCGAGACUACUCGUAGGUAGAUCUCUGCUGAGGUAGAUGACGAUGUAGAGCACUGAUUGGGUAUUUAGGGGGAGCAAUUCCUCGAUACGCUGUCAAACUCCGAAGUUGUCAUCGCUGUAGACGCGGGGAGUGAGCCACGGUGGGUAAGCUACCGUGACGAAAGGUGAAUAAACCAGCUCAGUGUUAAGGUCCCAAAGUACCAGUUAAGUGUUAAUCUGAAACGGCGUCCGUGGUCGAAGACAACCAGAAGGUGGGCUUAGAAGCAGCCACCCUUGAAAGAGUUCGUAACAGAUCACUGGUCAAGCUUGCGGGCCCGGAAAAUGGACGGGGCUCAAACUGGUCACCGAUACACUGAUCCUUCGAAAGAAGAUGAGGUAGCGCGGCGAUGUGCUCGGGUAGAAGCGAGGUUGUGAGAUCUCGUGGACCGUGUACAUAUGAGAAUCUAGGGAAGAGUAGCAGCAUAGUGCGGUGAGAAUCCGCACCACCGAAAGGGUAAGGGUUCCUCGGCAAUGUUUUUCAGCCGAGGGUUAGCCGGUCCUAAGGUCAAUCUUAACCGACUUGAUCGAAAGGGAAUUGCGUUAAUAUUCGUAAGCCUCUCUGCAAUAAUGGUAACGGCUAAGGCUAGUUCGUGCACUUCAGUCAUGGAGUGUCGAGGCGUUCGAUAAUCGUGUGGAGAACCGUCAUGGUGAGAAACACGAGAAGGCGUGAGUGAAAGACGGAUGAGGCCUUGGUCCCAUGAAAAACCGCAGAAGAUGACCGUACCAAGAACUGACACAGGUACCCAAGGUGAGUAGCCUAAGGUGUGACGGGUAAAGUACCGCGAAGGAACUCGGCAAAAUAGCCCCGUAACUUCGGGAGAAGGGGUGCCAGCUCUGAAGAGAGCUGGUCGCAGUGACAAGAGGACUCCGACUGUUUAAUAAAAACAUAGCCGACUGCUAGAUCGAAAGGUUGUGUAUAGUCGGUGAAUCCUGCUCAGUGCUGGUAUCUGAAACCGGGUUUCAACCUGGCGAAGGACCAGUAAACAGCGGGGGUAACUAUGACCCUCUUAAGGUAGCGUAAUACCUUGUCGCUUAAUUGGCGACUUGCAUGAAUGGUCCAACGAGGGCUCCACUGUCCCCGCGAUAAGUCCGGCGAAAUUGACUUUACUGGCGCACAGUCCAGUACCUUCAACCUGCAAGCGAAGACCCCGUAGAGCUUUACUGCAGCCUGGCGUUGUACAAUCGCACUUCACGUGCUGAGUAGACGGGAGACGUUGAUCCACGGGACGCCAGUCCCGUGAGUAGUCGUCCAUAGAGACACCGUCCUUGGAGUGUAAUUGUACUCACUCUUCAUGAGAACACCGCUUGGUGGGCAGUUUGGGUGGGGCGCCACGCGCUCGAAAACAUAACAAGCGUGCCCAAAGGUCAGCUUAGGUGGUUCAGUCUCCACCGUUAACUGUAAGGGGAAAAGCUGGCUUGACGUGGAUCCGCACAAUGAGGAUCGACGAUGCGAAAGCAGGGCCUAACGAACCUACCAACCUUAUUUAUGAGGGUGGUAGAUAACAGAAAAGUUACCUUGGGGAUAAUUGAGUUGUCACCAGCAAGAGCUCACAUCGACCUGGUGGCUUGCUACUUCGAUGUCGUCUCUUCCUAUCCUGGGCCUGCAGCAGGGCCCAAGGGUGGGGUUGUUCGCCCAUUAAAAGGGAUCGUGAGAUGGGUUUAGACCGUCGUGAGACAGGUUUGUUGCUUGGUGGUAGAAUCGCGUAAGGUGUUUGAUGGAAGAGGUCCUUUAGUACGAGAGGAACGAGGGCUUGGGGCCACUAGUUUACCAGUUGUCUGACAAGGCAAUGCUGGGUAGCCACGCCCUGAUGGAUAAGAGCUGAAAGCAUCUAAGCUCGAAGUCACCCGAAAGACGAGGCAUCUCAGGGGAUUCGUAGAAGACGAGUUUGAUAGACAGCGGGUGUAAGCACCGAGGUUCGCCGAGGUGUUCAGCCCAGCUGCACUAACCCCCCGAGCAUUCAUUUUUC
This 2017-nucleotide ribosomal RNA is filed under the name seawater metagenome. Its description in RNAcentral is "bacterial LSU rRNA". It matches the Rfam family "Archaeal large subunit ribosomal RNA", at positions 925 to 2987 of the family's 2987-position model. The record is from RNAcentral.